CAGCCGCCACGGUAAAACGUAGGUGACAAGCGUUGUCCGGAAUUAUUGGGCGUAAAGGGCUCGCAGGCGGUUUCUUAAGUCUGAUGUGAAAGCCCCCGGCUCAACCGGGGAGGGUCAUUGGAAACUGGGAAACUUGAGUGCAGAAGAGGAGAGUGGAAUUCCACGUGUAGCGGUGAAAUGCGUAGAGAUGUGGAGGAACACCAGUGGCGAAGGCGACUCUCUGGUCUGUAACUGACGCUGAGGAGCGAAAGCGUGGGGAGCGAACAGGAUUAGAUACCCCUGUAGUCCCUGUCUCUUAUAC
This 301-nucleotide ribosomal RNA is filed under the name uncultured bacterium. RNAcentral's name for it is "partial 16S ribosomal RNA". It matches the Rfam family "Bacterial small subunit ribosomal RNA", at positions 509 to 807 of the family's 1533-position model. The record is from RNAcentral.